RNAcentral lists this long non-coding RNA (547 nucleotides) under Trifolium pratense (red clover). Its description in RNAcentral is "long non-coding RNA (TPRA_LNC000056)". Lineage: Eukaryota; Viridiplantae; Streptophyta; Magnoliopsida; Fabales; Fabaceae. The record is from RNAcentral.
UCAUCACUUUCAGCGAUCUAAUAUAAUAUAAUGUAUAGUAUUAACAAGGAGCACAAAUUGAGAAAACAUUGAGGAGACAAAACAGGGACCACAAUAGGACCACUAUAGAGAGGCAAUUGCAUAAAAAAGAAACAAAUUAGGAUCACUAUAAUACUUAAACAAAUUAGGACCACAAAGCAACAUAAACAAUAAUAUAGAUGGUAAUAAUAUAAGAGAUACAAAAGCUUCAAAAUAGCAGCAACAUGAAUAUUGAAUAAGCGAAAAAAGAAGCAACAACAACAUGGUUCACGCUAAAACAAAUUUGGUUCAAGCUAAAACAACAUGGUUCAUUGUACUAAAAAACACAAAUUUCAUUCAUGAAAAUUAACAAGUGAGAAUAAUCCCUUACAAAUUUAUAAAAGUUAAAACGAAAAACAGUGAAAAACGUACCUUAAAACAACGACGACAACCGGAAUUAGAGCAUAUAGGUGGCGCUAGGGUUUUCAGAUUGAGAUGAUUUGAGAGAGUUGAUCGAGAAGAGAGAGAUACGAAGAUGCAAUUGAAGGGG